GACGAACGCUGGCGGCGUGCUUAACACAUGCAAGUCGAACGGAAAGGCCCUGCUUGCUGGGUACUCGAGUGGCGAACGGGUGAGUAACACGUGGGUGAUCUGCCCUGCACUUCGGGAUAAGCUUGGGAAACUGGGUCUAAUACCGGAUAGGAGCCAUCUUUAGUGUGGUGGUUGGAAAGUUUUUUCGGUUUAGGAUGAGCUCGCGGCCUAUCAGCUUGUUGGUGGGGUAAUGGCCUACCAAGGCGGCGACGGGUAGCCGGCCUGAGAGGGUGUACGGCCACAUUGGGACUGAGAUACGGCCCAGACUGCGACGGGAGGCAGAAGUGGGGAAUAUUGCACAAUGGGCGCCAGCCUGAUGCAGCGACGCCGCGUGGGGGAUGAAGGCCUUCGGGUUGUAAACUCAUUUCGCUAGUGACGAAGCUUUUUGUGACGGUACCUAGAGAAGAAGCACCGGCUAACUACGUG
RNAcentral lists this ribosomal RNA (465 nucleotides) under uncultured bacterium. RNAcentral's name for it is "partial 16S ribosomal RNA". It matches the Rfam family "Bacterial small subunit ribosomal RNA", at positions 28 to 507 of the family's 1533-position model. The record is from RNAcentral.